UACGGAGGGGGGCUAGCGUUGUUCGGAAUUACUGGGCGUAAAGCGCGCGUAGGCGGCUUUGUAAGUUAGAGGUGAAAGCCCGGGGCUCAACCCCGGAAUUGCCUUUAAGACUGCAUCGCUUGAAUCCGGGAGAGGUGAGUGGAAUUCCGAGUGUAGAGGUGAAAUUCGUAGAUAUUCGGAAGAACACCAGUGGGCGAAGGCGGCUCACUGGACCGGCAUUGACGCUGAGGUGCGAAGGCGUGGGGGAGCAAACAGG
RNAcentral lists this ribosomal RNA (256 nucleotides) under uncultured bacterium. RNAcentral's name for it is "partial 16S ribosomal RNA". It matches the Rfam family "Bacterial small subunit ribosomal RNA", at positions 524 to 776 of the family's 1533-position model. The record is from RNAcentral.